This 438-nucleotide long non-coding RNA is filed under the name Ananas comosus (pineapple). RNAcentral describes it as "long non-coding RNA (ACOM_LNC015749)". The record is from RNAcentral. Lineage: Eukaryota; Viridiplantae; Streptophyta; Magnoliopsida; Poales; Bromeliaceae.
AUUUGUACGGUAUUCUAAUGUGUGUGUGUAUAAAUAUGAUCAGCAGGGCUAUUAUACUCUUAUGAGUAUAAAUUUUUUUUGUACUCAUAAAUUUUCAGUCGUUGGAUGAAGGGAUGUGUGAUUAAGAUAAUAGUGGUUCUCAAUUAGAAUGAUAGUGGUCGCUUAGGGUUGAGUGGGUGGUUAGUUGAAUAGUAUUAUCUAACAGGUAGAAAUGGUCAAAGAGAUAAAUCUAACAAUCGAAAAUUUAUAAAUAUAAAGGGAUCUAUAUUUAUAAGAGUAUAGUAGCCGGACCUUCUCUCUCUCUCUCUCUCUCUCUCUCUCUCUCUCUCUCUCUCUCUUUAUAUAUAUAAUGAAUGUGUGUGUGUUGGCAUAUAGUCGAACACUUUACAGUUUUUAAUAUAAAUAAUUUUUUCAAACUAAAAUAAAUUCUAUAGGAAU